RNAcentral lists this ribosomal RNA (325 nucleotides) under Acidobacteria bacterium enrichment culture clone C13_08_S77. Its description in RNAcentral is "bacterial SSU rRNA". It matches the Rfam family "Bacterial small subunit ribosomal RNA", at positions 15 to 354 of the family's 1533-position model. Lineage: Bacteria; Pseudomonadati; Acidobacteriota. The record is from RNAcentral.
GAUCCUGGCUCAGAAUCAACGCUGGCGGCGUGCCUAACACAUGCAAGUCGAACGAGAAAGUGGAGCAAUCCAUGAGUAAAGUGGCGCACGGGUGAGUAACACGUGACUAACCUACCCUUGAGUGGGGGAUAACUGAGGGAAACCUUAGCUAAUACCGCAUAAUACCUACGGGUCAAAGGAGCAAUUCGCUUAAGGAGGGGGUCGCGGUCGAUUAGUUAGUUGGCGGGGUAAUGGCCCACCAAGACUGUGAUCGAUAUCCGGCCUGAGAGGGCGCACGGACACACUGGAACUGAAACACGGUCCAGACUCCUACGGGAGGCAGCAG